This is a non-coding RNA of Castor canadensis (American beaver), 778 nucleotides long. NCBI's taxonomy places the organism in Eukaryota, Metazoa, Chordata, Mammalia, Rodentia, Castoridae. The record is from RefSeq and is a predicted model, not a curated record.
CCAGCACUCUUUAAUCAUCAUUACUCCAGGCAUCUGAUUACUCAUCAGUUUCUCCAUUCUUUCACCGAUAGAAAAUUUCUUCCAUUCCUUUUGGGUGAGACCAGCCUUUGAACAGAUUGUAUUGUAGGACACCCACGGAGAGCAGUGAUGCCCACACAGCGCCAUAUGUGAGAUGGUGGGAAAACAGGUAUUUGAGUCCAAGGAAGAAACCUUAGCAGCAACCAAAACUCCAGCACCUUGAUCUUGGACUUCCAGCCCUCAGAAGUGUGAGCUCAUUUUUGUGGUUUUGGCCACCCAGUCUUUGGUAUUCUGUGAUAGCAGCUUGACCAGAUUCACGUGGACAGUAUUCCAAGGAGAAGGUACAGCAAGCGUCAGAGCCCAAGGAUGUGGAAGGAGGAAAGAAGCGUUGAAUUAUAUUAAGAAAAAAAAAGAAGAAGAAAUGAAGAGAGCUUUUCCCUCCAAUUUGUUCAGAGAAAGGGGAAGUGGAAGGAAAUGGAACUGUGACCAGGCUGCAGAGCACGGCCCUAACCAGGCGAGGCUAGGGACAUUAACAGGACAUGCCCAGAAGAAGCUUUCUCACCACGAAGAGGGACUUAGAUGCUAUCCUGGGGUGCCAGAGAGGCAUAGUAACUGGGAAGGGGUACAAUUGAGAUCCUUCUAUCACCAUCAAUCUGCCACUUAAAUGGCCGUUUUGGAUACAUCACAGGUCAAAAGAAACUUAGGCCACCAACCACAGGCAGACUAGGUAAAGGGCAUUGUCACCUUUCCAUCACUGUGA